GUUAGGGUGAGCUAAAAAAGCUCUUUGGCUGUUACCCGAAAAAUGGGUCUAUAGUUGGGGCCCCCCUAACG
This 71-nucleotide transfer RNA is filed under the name Cryolaternula elliptica. RNAcentral describes it as "tRNA-Asn". Lineage: Eukaryota; Metazoa; Mollusca; Bivalvia; Laternulidae. The record is from RNAcentral.